This 211-nucleotide unclassified non-coding RNA is filed under the name plant metagenome. Its description in RNAcentral is "partial contains small subunit ribosomal RNA, internal transcribed spacer 1, and 5.8S ribosomal RNA". The record is from RNAcentral.
UUUCCGUAGGUGAACCUGCGGAAGGAUCAUUCAUAAUAAAGUGUUUUAUGGCACUUUUUAAAAAUCCAUAUCCACCUUGUGUGCAAUGUUAGAUCUCGUCAAUCUUGGCGAGGUUUUUAUACAUCAACUCAUUCUUUAACUAAUUUGUCUGAAAAAUAUUGUGAAUACUUAAUUCAAAAUACAACUUUCAACAACGGAUCUCUUGGCUCUC